GAUGAACGCUGGCGGCGUGCCUAAUACAUGCAAGUCGAGCGAACAGAUGAGGAGCUUGCUCCUCUGACGUUAGCGGCGGACGGGUGAGUAACACGUGGAUAACCUACCUAUAAGACUGGGAUAACUUCGGGAAACCGGAGCUAAUACCGGAUAAUAUAUUGAACCGCAUGGUUCAAUAGUGAAAGACGGUUUUGCUGUCACUUAUAGAUGGAUCCGCGCCGCAUUAGCUAGUUGGUAAGGUAACGGCUUACCAAGGCAACGAUGCGUAGCCGACCUGAGAGGGUGAUCGGCCACACUGGAACUGAGACACGGUCCAGACUCCUACGGGAGGCAGCAGUAGGGAAUCUUCCGCAAUGGGCCAAAGCCUGACGGAGCAACGCCGCGUGAGUGAUGAAGGUCUUCGGAUCGUAAAACUCUGUUAUUAGGGAAGAACAAAUGUGUAAGUAACUAUGCACGUCUUGACGGUACCUAAUCAGAAAGCCACGGCUAACUACGUG
RNAcentral lists this ribosomal RNA (497 nucleotides) under uncultured bacterium. Its description in RNAcentral is "partial 16S ribosomal RNA". It matches the Rfam family "Bacterial small subunit ribosomal RNA", at positions 28 to 507 of the family's 1533-position model. The record is from RNAcentral.